GCCUGGGUGGCUCAGUCGGUUAAGCAUCUGACUUCAGCUCAGGUCAUGAUCUCACGGUUCGUGGGUUCGAGCCCCACAUAGGGCU
RNAcentral lists this transfer RNA (85 nucleotides) under Felis catus (domestic cat). It matches the Rfam family "tRNA". From Rfam's summary of the family: Transfer RNA (tRNA) molecules are approximately 80 nucleotides in length. Their secondary structure includes four short double-helical elements and three loops (D, anti-codon, and T loops). Lineage: Eukaryota; Metazoa; Chordata; Mammalia; Carnivora; Felidae. The record is from Rfam by way of RNAcentral.